AUGGUGAAAAGUACCGCGGGAGCGGAGUGAAAUAGCACCUGAAACCGUGUGCCUACAAGCCGUGGGAGCGUCGGAUGGAAGCUUGCUUCCAUCUCGUGACUGCGUGCCUUUUGAAGAAUGAGCCUGCGAGUUUGCGGUGUGUUGCGAGGUUAACCCGGGUGGGGAAGCCGUAGCGAGGGCGAGUCCGAAUAGGGCGUUUCAGUAGCACGCUCAAGACCCGAAGCGGAGUGAUCUAGCCAUGGGCAGGUU
Ribosomal RNA from Streptomyces afghaniensis 772, 249 nucleotides. It matches the Rfam family "Bacterial large subunit ribosomal RNA", at positions 511 to 746 of the family's 2925-position model. The record is from Rfam. Lineage: Bacteria; Bacillati; Actinomycetota; Actinomycetes; Kitasatosporales; Streptomycetaceae.